GACAGAGGGUGCAAACGUUGUUCGGAAUCACUGGGCGUAAAGGGUGCGUAGGCGGGUCUUUAAGUCAGGGGUGAAAUCCUGGAGCUCAACUCCAGAACUGCCUUUGAUACUGAAGAUCUUGAGUUCGGGAGAGGUGAGUGGAACUGCGAGUGUAGAGGUGAAAUUCGUAGAUAUUCGCAAGAACACCAGUGGCGAAGGCGGCUCACUGGCCCGAUACUGACGCUGAUGCACGAAAGCGUGGGGAGCAAACAGG
This 253-nucleotide ribosomal RNA is filed under the name uncultured bacterium. RNAcentral's name for it is "partial 16S ribosomal RNA". It matches the Rfam family "Bacterial small subunit ribosomal RNA", at positions 524 to 776 of the family's 1533-position model. The record is from RNAcentral.